RNAcentral lists this ribosomal RNA (465 nucleotides) under Vreelandella stevensii. Its description in RNAcentral is "partial 16S ribosomal RNA". It matches the Rfam family "Bacterial small subunit ribosomal RNA", at positions 338 to 795 of the family's 1533-position model. The record is from RNAcentral. Lineage: Bacteria; Pseudomonadati; Pseudomonadota; Gammaproteobacteria; Oceanospirillales; Halomonadaceae.
CCUACGGGAGGCUGCAGUGGGGAAUAUUGGACAAUGGGGGCAACCCUGAUCCAGCCAUGCCGCGUGUGUGAAGAAGGCCCUCGGGUUGUAAAGCACUUUCAGUGAGGAAGAACGCCUGGUGGUUAAUACCCAUCAGGAAAGACAUCACUCACAGAAGAAGCACCGGCUAACUCCGUGCCAGCAGCCGCGGUAAUACGGAGGGUGCGAGCGUUAAUCGGAAUUACUGGGCGUAAAGCGCGCGUAGGUGGCUUGAUAAGCCGGUUGUGAAAGCCCCGGGCUCAACCUGGGAACGGCAUCCGGAACUGUCAAGCUAGAGUGCAGGAGAGGAAGGUAGAAUUCCCGGUGUAGCGGUGAAAUGCGUAGAGAUCGGGAGGAAUACCAGUGGCGAAGGCGGCCUUCUGGACUGACACUGACACUGAGGUGCGAAAGCGUGGGGAGCAAACAGGAUUAGAUACCCUUGUAGUC